CAGGACACCACCGGCAUAUACCGCCCGACCCUCCCCCCUCCUCCCACCGUACCCCAGCAGCCCGGAAGAUCUAUAAACCUCGGCUCCCUCCAUGUGUCCCAUUACAACUAUAAAUCCAGGGGAAUUUGUGCUCUGGUGAAGCGGCAUUCUCCAUCUCUACGCAGAGUCAUCCUGGUCAUGGCAUUUGAUGACAUCUGGACAAUAUUUACAGCUGAAAUUCACAAUUUGAAGAAAAGAGAACCUGAUGACUCUGUGGACACUGACGUCUUACAGAUUCAUCUGCAAUGAAGGAUGUCUGUGGAGUCAUGUCAGCAGCAGGUCAACCUUCAUCCGCUCCUCCAUUCUUCCCUGGAUAUUGUGCAGAUGAACAAAGUAUUAGAAAUGUUCUUGCCGUCUGGCUGCACAUGCUCAGUAGGAGGAGGAAAUGAUUGACUGAUGUGAUUUUGGAUCUGACCAGUUUGAUCCCUGAAAGCCCGGGACCCAACGUUUUUACCACCACAUGUUUCUGCAUACGUCGACUGUUCAGGGUGGUAUGUGUUUCCAGACGUUUCUCUUCUAAGUGCAAGUGAAGGGGCUGCGACCUUUCUGUUGGUCUCAGCUGAUUCAAACGUCACUGUGAUCAAUACCACAUUAAUGCAUUCUCCCUGUGCUCUACCCUCUCCCUGCACGGCAAGGUUACUUGUCUCUUUUGAUCACUUCAGCAUUAAAAUCUCAUUUAUCUCUUUGUUAAUGGAGAGUUUGCCAUUUUCUCCUCUUUGUGACAGAUAUUGAAUCAAAUACAGUCACAAAUCAGCCUGCCAGAGAUUCAACAUUUACAAAAGUUGACAGAAAAGUUCCAGCUCUCAUGUCAAACUGACAUUCCCACUCUUUUCAGUGUUUUCAAUGACAUGGAGUGUUGGGUUUAAGGAGGUUUUCCAAGCUGCUUUGCUGCUUCUUUUCUCAGAUUCCCUGGCGAAGACAAUUGUUUAUUUACAGCUUUUUCUAAAUGUGUCAGGAAGACAAUAUUUGCUGUUUGAAAAAUUAAUUAUCACAAAUGGCCAGCUUGAGAAGUCAGGGCUUGUUCAGGGAGCUAGGAGAGGGGGAGCCCACGCUAUUAUUGGAACAGGACUGGACACUGAUAUCCAUCAGUGUUUUCAGUUUGAAUUUGUUUCAGCAGGCAGGAAUUUAUAAGAUUGUCACAAAGGCCUAAUUUUGUCUGUCCCACAAACAACUGGACAGGCAGGAAAUGAUUCCAAAUAUUGUCCUAGAAGUUAAGACCAAAAUGUGAUGCUGGGGAAAAAAUGCAUUCAUUGUCUUCACAAAAUAUUUGAUUUGACGAAAAAAAUGUUUUCUCAAGUAUACUUUUGCCAUGUGUUUCUUUAGCUGGAGUAGCUGGCACUAAAUCUUUCUAAUUCUACUACAAACAAUUUUUCACACUUAAUUGUUAUUUUAGUUCAAGGAGAAAUUAAUUGACGAAGGCUGUUACGUGACCAUUUUAAUCUCACAAAGUUUAUAUUCAUGUUGAGGAGAAUCUGACCUUGCUGUGACUGUCUUUGUUGUUGUCUGCUGUCAUUCACAGAGGCUUUCGUUGAGGUAAAUAAGACAAAUGCACUUUUUUCUGUCCCACCAUUGGAGCAGCAUAACAACAGAGGUGGACUUAUAGCAGUUUUUUUAUUGGAAA
Cynoglossus semilaevis (tongue sole) is the source of this 1660-nucleotide long non-coding RNA. RefSeq lists it as uncharacterized. The record is from RefSeq and is a predicted model, not a curated record. The transcript is spliced from 6 exons. Lineage: Eukaryota; Metazoa; Chordata; Actinopteri; Pleuronectiformes; Cynoglossidae.